RNAcentral lists this ribosomal RNA (507 nucleotides) under uncultured Glomeromycotina. Its description in RNAcentral is "SSU rRNA". It matches the Rfam family "Eukaryotic small subunit ribosomal RNA", at positions 569 to 1077 of the family's 1831-position model. The record is from RNAcentral. Lineage: Eukaryota; Fungi; Glomeromycota.
AGCAGCCGCGGUAAUUCCAGCUCCAAUAGCGUAUAUUAAAGUUGUUGCAGUUAAAAAGCUCGUAGUUGGAUUUCGGGGUUAGUAGGUUGGUCAUGCCUCUGGUAUGUGCUGGUCUCACUGAUUCCUCCUUCCUGAUGAACCUUAAUGCCAUUAAUUUGGUGUUUUGGGGAAUUUGGACUGUUACUUUGAAAAAAUUAGAGUGUUUAAAGCAAGCUAACGCUUGAAUACGUUAGCAUGGAAUAAUGAAAUAGGACGUUCGAUCCUAUUUUGUUGGUUCCUAGGAUUGACGUAAUGAUUAAUAGGGAUAGUUGGGGGCAUUAGUAUUCAAUUGUCAGAGGUGAAAUUCUUGGAUUUAUUGAAGACUAACUACUGCGAAAGCAUUUGCCAAGGAUGUUUUCAUUAAUCAAGAACGAAAGUUAGGGGAUCGAAGACGAUCAGAUACCGUCGUAGUCUUAACCAUAAACUAUGCCGACUAGGGAUCGGAUGAUGUUAAUUUUUUAAUGACUC